CCAAUAGCGUAUAUUAAAGUUGCUGCAGUUAAAAAGCUCGUAGUUGAAUUUCGGGACCAAUAUGUCGGUCGUGCCUCGGUACGUACUGGCAUCGUUGGUUUCUCCCUUCUGCAGAACCAUGAUGUCAUUUAUUUCGUGUCGUGGGGAAUCAGGACUGUUACUUUGAAAAAAUUAGAGUGUUUAAACCAGGCUCACGCUUGAAUACAUUAGCAUGGAAUAAUACAAUAGGACGUUUGAUUCUAUUUUGUUGGUUUUUAGGAUCGACGUAAUGAUUAAUAGGGAUAGUUGGGGGCAUUAGUAUUCAAUUGUCAGAGGUGAAAUUCUUGGAUUUAUUGAAGACUAACUACUGCGAAAGCAUUUGCCAAGGAUGUUUUCAUUAAUCAAGAACGAAAGUUAGGGGAUCGAAGACGAUCAGAUACAGUCGUAGUCUUAACCAUAAACUAUGCCGACUAGGGAUCGGAUGAUGUUAAUUUUUUUAAUGACUCAUUCGGCGCCUUACG
RNAcentral lists this ribosomal RNA (500 nucleotides) under uncultured Glomeromycotina. Its description in RNAcentral is "partial small subunit ribosomal RNA". It matches the Rfam family "Eukaryotic small subunit ribosomal RNA", at positions 591 to 1092 of the family's 1831-position model. Lineage: Eukaryota; Fungi; Glomeromycota. The record is from RNAcentral.